This is a non-coding RNA of Pangasius djambal, 75 nucleotides long. NCBI's taxonomy places the organism in Eukaryota, Metazoa, Chordata, Actinopteri, Siluriformes, Pangasiidae. The record is from the annotation of a GenBank genome assembly.
GUAGUGGUAGCUGAAUGGUUAAGGCUCUGGGUUACUGAGCAGCUAAUCAGGGGUUCAAGCCCCAGCACCACCACA